CAGCUCUUGACAUGCCAGGACGGUUCCCGGAGACGGGUUCCUCCACUUCGGUGGCCUGGACACAGGUGCUGCAUGGCUGUCGUCAGCUCGUGUCGUGAGAUGUUGGGUUAAGUCCCGCAACGAGCGCAACCCUCGCCCUUAGUUGCCAGCAUUCAGUUGGGCACUCUAAGGGGACUGCCGGUGAUAAGCCGAGAGGAAGGUGGGGAUGACGUCAAGUCCUCAUGGCCCUUACGGGCUGGGCUACACACGUGCUACAAUGGCGGUGACAGUGGGCAGCGACUUCGCGAGGAGUAGCUAAUCCCCAAAAGCCGUCUCAGUUCGGAUUGCACUCUGCAACUCGGGUGCAUGAAGUUGGAAUCGCUAGUAAUCGCAGAA
RNAcentral lists this ribosomal RNA (375 nucleotides) under uncultured bacterium. RNAcentral describes it as "bacterial SSU rRNA". It matches the Rfam family "Bacterial small subunit ribosomal RNA", at positions 975 to 1349 of the family's 1533-position model. The record is from RNAcentral.